Molecule: long non-coding RNA, 349 nt
Filed under: Manihot esculenta (cassava)
Lineage: Eukaryota; Viridiplantae; Streptophyta; Magnoliopsida; Malpighiales; Euphorbiaceae
Description: long non-coding RNA (MESC_LNC001369)
Source: RNAcentral
UCCAGCCUGUUCUGGGCACCACUGGCCCGUUUUGGUGCCUUCUGAAAUUUUCGUAGGCCAACCAGACUCCCCUGGAAUUUUCGUUGGCCAACCAGAAUCUCCUGGCACCUUUCCGCGCACCCCCAAUGCUUCUGGAAGCUUCCAGCGCCUUCCAGCACAUCCCAAUUCCUUUCCAUCACUGGCAGACUCGAACCUCACGCUACCCAGCUCCAUUUCUCCGAAGUGACGCUCCUUUACUCAAGCUACGAGCGCAACGAGCCAAAGGGGAGCGUGGAGCUGAACUUGUGCAAGACCGCGAUGGCGAACGGUAGGGGUGCAAGCACUUGGGGAAUAAGUGAGCCCGUGACAC